Molecule: ribosomal RNA, 466 nt
Filed under: uncultured bacterium
Lineage: Bacteria
Description: partial 16S ribosomal RNA
Rfam family: Bacterial small subunit ribosomal RNA
Source: RNAcentral
GAUGAACGCUGGCGGCGUGCUUAACACAUGCAAGUCGAACGGAAAGGCUCCUGCUUGCAGGGGUUCUCGAGUGGCGAACGGGUGUGUAACACGUGGGUGAUCUGCCCUGCACUGCGGGAUAAGCCUGGGAAACUGGGUCUAAUACCGGAGAGGACGAUGGUUUGGAUGCCAUUGUGGAAAGUUUUUCGGUGUGGGUUGAGCUCGCGGCCUAUCAGCUUGUUGGUGGGGUAAUGGCUUACCAAGGCGCCUACGGGGAGCAGGCCAGGGAGGGUGUACGGCCGCCCUGGGCCCGAGGGGAGGCCGAGAUUGGUAAGCGUCGGAAAAGGGGGGAAUACUGAACAAUGGGCGCCGGCCUGGUGCAGGAAGGCCUCGGGGGGGAUAACGGCCUUAGGGUGGAAGAACCCUUUCGCAAGUAACGACGCGCUUUUUGACGGUACCUAAAGAAAAAGCACCGGCUAACUACGUG